RNAcentral lists this ribosomal RNA (484 nucleotides) under uncultured bacterium. Its description in RNAcentral is "partial 16S ribosomal RNA". It matches the Rfam family "Bacterial small subunit ribosomal RNA", at positions 30 to 507 of the family's 1533-position model. The record is from RNAcentral.
AUUGAACGCUGGCGGCAGGCCUAACACAUGCAAGUCGAGCGGAUGAAGGGAGCUUGCUCCUGGAUUCAGCGGCGGACGGGUGAGUAAUGCCUAGGAAUCUGCCUGGCAGUGGGGGAUAACGUCCGGAAACGGGCGCUAAUACCGCAUACGUCCUGAGGGAGAAAGUGGGGGAUCUUCGGACCUCACGCUAUCAGAUGAGCCUAGGUCGGAGUAGCUAGUUGGUGGGGUAAAGGCCUAACAAGGCGACGAUCCGUAACUGGUCUGAGAGGAUGAUCAGUCACACUGGAACUGAGACACGGUCCAGACUCCUACGGGAGGCAGCAGUGGGGAAUAUUGGACCAUGCGCGAAAGCCUGCUACAGGCAUGCCGCGUGUGUGAAGAAGGUCUUCGGAUUGUAAAGCACUUUCAGUUGGGAGGAAGGGCAGUAAGUUAAUACCUUGCCGUGUUGACGUUACCAACAGAAUAAGCACCGGAUAACUUCGUG